UUGAACGCUGGCGGCAUGCCUUACACAUGCAAGUCGCACGGUAACGGGCCUUCGGGUGCCGACGAGUGGCGAACGGGUGAGUAAUACAUCGGAACGUGCCCGAUCGUGGGGGAUAACGAGGCGAAAGCUUUGCUAAUACCGCAUACGAUCUACGGAUGAAAGCAGGGGACCGCAAGGCCUUGCGCGGACGGAGCGGCCGAUGGCAGAUUAGGUAGUUGGUGGGAUAAAAGCUUACCAGGCCGACGAUCUGUAGCUGGUCUGAGAGGAUGAUCAGCCACACUGGGACUGAGACACGGCCCAGACUCCUACGGGAGGCAGCAGUGGGGAAUUUUGGACAAUGGGCGCAAGCCUGAUCCAGCCAUGCCGCGUGCAGGAUGAAGGCCUUCGGGUUGUAAACUGCUUUUGUACGGAACGAAAAGCCUUCUUUUAAUACAGGAGGGUCAUGACGGUACCGGAAGAAUAAGCACCGGCUAACUACGUG
Molecule: ribosomal RNA, 481 nt
Filed under: uncultured bacterium
Lineage: Bacteria
Description: partial 16S ribosomal RNA
Rfam family: Bacterial small subunit ribosomal RNA
Source: RNAcentral